RNAcentral lists this ribosomal RNA (581 nucleotides) under Fusarium sp. RNAcentral describes it as "eukaryotic LSU rRNA". The stretch from base 216 to 369 matches the Rfam family "5.8S ribosomal RNA". The record is from RNAcentral. Lineage: Eukaryota; Fungi; Ascomycota; Sordariomycetes; Hypocreales; Nectriaceae.
CUUGGUCAUUAGAGGAAGUAAAAGUCGUAACAAGGUCUCCGUUGGUGAACCAGCGGAGGGAUCAUUACCGAGUUUACAACUCCCAAACCCCUGUGAACAUACCAAUUGUUGCCUCGGCGGAUCAGCCCGCUCCCGGUAAAACGGGACGGCCCGCCAGAGGACCCCUAAACUCUGUUUCUAUAUGUAACUUCUGAGUAAAACCAUAAAUAAAUCAAAACUUUCAACAACGGAUCUCUUGGUUCUGGCAUCGAUGAAGAACGCAGCAAAAUGCGAUAAGUAAUGUGAAUUGCAGAAUUCAGUGAAUCAUCGAAUCUUUGAACGCACAUUGCGCCCGCCAGUAUUCUGGCGGGCAUGCCUGUUCGAGCGUCAUUUCAACCCUCAAGCCCAGCUUGGUGUUGGGACUCGCGAGUUAAACCGCGUUCCCCAAAUUGAUUGGCGGUCACGUCGAGCUUCCAUAGCGUAGUAGUAAAACCCUCGUUACUGGUAAUCGUCGCGGCCACGCCGUUAAACCCCAACUUCUGAAUGUUGACCUCGGAUCAGGUAGGAAUACCCGCUGAACUUAAGCAUAUCAAUAAGCGGAG